Molecule: long non-coding RNA, 495 nt
Filed under: Anser brachyrhynchus (Pink-footed goose)
Lineage: Eukaryota; Metazoa; Chordata; Aves; Anseriformes; Anatidae
Description: lncRNA (ENSABRG00000002460.1)
Source: RNAcentral
CUCUCCACUGUUUUUUAUAGUUAAGAAAUGCACAUUUAGACAAAAGUGUUCAUGAGCUGCUCUGACAAUUUUUUUUUUUUUUGGCCAUAGGUGGGUUGUUCCUGUGCAGAAGCGUGAAGCCUAAGAACAGAAUGGGACCCUCUGACUUUAGCAAGGAAAGUGUAAGAGGCAUAGCUCACAAAUGAACAGAAGGAGUGCAGAGGGAAUCAGCAAUUGUCUCUUGGGAGAAGAAGAAAAGACAUGAAAGGGACCGCAGUAAAGCAAAAGCUGCCAUUUCGCUCCAGUACAAAUGAUCUAGCCCCAGAAACCCUGCUGUUAACCAGCACAACCUUCAUGCAGGAUGAAAAUAGAUCUAAGAAGAGUGACACGUUCAGGUGUAAGUUCAGUGUUUCUCUUAAUAGUGCUCAAGAGUCUGAAGAAAGAACCUACAUUGAAAGGGGCGCCUUAAUAUCUCUGGCUGCUGUAUUGAUUGCAUGGGCUUGCAGACAACCGUAG